GCCUGGCUCAGUUGGUAAAGGGUGAGACUUUUGAUCUCAUGGUUGUGAGUUCAAGCCCCACAAUGGGCA
This 69-nucleotide transfer RNA is filed under the name Mustela putorius furo (domestic ferret). It matches the Rfam family "tRNA". From Rfam's summary of the family: Transfer RNA (tRNA) molecules are approximately 80 nucleotides in length. Their secondary structure includes four short double-helical elements and three loops (D, anti-codon, and T loops). Lineage: Eukaryota; Metazoa; Chordata; Mammalia; Carnivora; Mustelidae. The record is from Rfam by way of RNAcentral.